RNAcentral lists this non-coding RNA (24 nucleotides) under Arabidopsis thaliana (thale cress). The record is from RNAcentral. Lineage: Eukaryota; Viridiplantae; Streptophyta; Magnoliopsida; Brassicales; Brassicaceae.
UGUUGAUCGGAUGGUAGAAACAUA